This 253-nucleotide ribosomal RNA is filed under the name uncultured bacterium. Its description in RNAcentral is "partial 16S ribosomal RNA". It matches the Rfam family "Bacterial small subunit ribosomal RNA", at positions 524 to 776 of the family's 1533-position model. The record is from RNAcentral.
UACGUAGGUGGCAAGCGUUGUCCGGAUUUACUGGGCGUAAAGAGCGCGCAGGCGGUCGUUCAAGUCGCGUGUGAAAGCCCCCGGCUCAACUGGGGAGGGUCACGCGAUACUGAUCGACUCGAAGGCAGGAGAGGGAAGUGGAAUUCCCGGUGUAGUGGUGAAAUGCGUAGAUAUCGGGAGGAACACCGGUGGCGAAGGCGGUUCUCUGGGCCUUACCUGACGCUGAGGAGCGAAAGCGUGGGGAGCGAACAGG